This 468-nucleotide ribosomal RNA is filed under the name uncultured bacterium. RNAcentral describes it as "partial 16S ribosomal RNA". It matches the Rfam family "Bacterial small subunit ribosomal RNA", at positions 28 to 507 of the family's 1533-position model. The record is from RNAcentral.
GACGAACGCUGGCGGCGUGCUUAACACAUGCAAGUCGAACGGAAAGGCCCUGCUUUUGUGGGGUGCUCGAGUGGCGAACGGGUGAGUAACACGUGAGUCACCUGCCCUUGACUUUGGGAUAACUUCAGGCAACUGGGGCUAAUACCGGCUAGGAGCUCCUGCUGCAUGGUGGUGGUUGGAAAGCAUGGGCGGUUGGGGAUGGACUCGCGGGUUAUCAGCUUGUUGGUGGGGUAGUGGCCUACCCAGGCUUCGACGGGUAGCCGGCCUGGGAGGGGGACCAGCCACAUGGGGACUGAGAUACGGCGCAGACGCGUACGGGAGGCAGCAGGGGGGAAUAUUACACAAUGGGCGGGAGCCUGAUGCGGAGACGCCGCGUGCGGAAUGACGGCCUUCGGGUUGUAAACCGCUUUCGCCUGUGACGAAGCGGGAGUGACGGUAAUGGGUGAAGAAGCACCGGCUAACUACGUG